RNAcentral lists this ribosomal RNA (424 nucleotides) under uncultured Christensenella sp. RNAcentral describes it as "bacterial SSU rRNA". It matches the Rfam family "Bacterial small subunit ribosomal RNA", at positions 338 to 755 of the family's 1533-position model. Lineage: Bacteria; Bacillati; Bacillota; Clostridia; Christensenellales; Christensenellaceae. The record is from RNAcentral.
CCUACGGGAGGCAGCAGUAGGGAAUUUUCGUCAAUGGAGGGAACUCUGAACGAGCAAUGCCGCGUGAGUGAAGAAGGUCUUCGGAUCGUAAAGCUCUGUUGUAAGAGAAAAACGAUGGAUAUAGGAAAUGAUGUCCAAGUGAUGGUAUCUUACCAGAAAGCCACGGCUAACUACGUGCCAGCAGCCGCGGUAAUACGUAGGUGGCAAGCGUUAUCCGGAAUGAUUGGGCGUAAAGGGUGCGUAGGUGGUGCAUUAAGUCUGAAGUAAAAGCCAGCAGCUCAACUGCUGUAAGCUUUGGAAACUGGUGUACUAGAGUGCAGGAGAGGGCGAUGGAAUUCCAUGUGUAGCGGUAAAAUGCGUAGAUAUAUGGAGGAACACCAGUGGCGAAGGCGGUCGCCUGGCCUGUAACUGACACUGAGGCACG